UCAUACAUUAAAAAAAACUUGUAGAUAUAAAGUCGAUAAGUAAAAAUCUUGCUUGAGAUGGAAUAAACUAUGUAAAAGAAUAUCAGAAUUUUUACUCCAACUGUAAAUUCCAUUAAAAAUUCGAUGAUUCAUUAGGGUUUUUAAAUAGACAAGUACCUAAAAGAGAGAAUCAAAUUAUAUAAAUAGACCAUGAUCACAUUUUUCAUUCUUCAAUUGUUGAAUUCUCAAAUUAGCGAUAAAUUAAUUUGUAAAAUUGGAUUAAUAUUUUCAAUUGCUGAUUGAAAAAAAUGUACUUCUAUUAAUUAUUCAACAUUAUUUAAUUUAUUUUCUUCUCUUAAGUACUUAUCCAUUUGAGGAAUAUCCAUGAAUUGUGAAUUUCUUUGAUGUAAUCGGCAUAUUUAAUAAAUAUUAUUUGUACCUUAUCUAAUAAUCCUGAAUAGAACAUAAUUUUCAAAAAUAAUUUAAUUUAUUCAAACAAAAUUUUAUAAAUAGAACGAGUAUAAAAAAAUAUUACGACAAAAAGAUAAAAAUAUUAGUGUAUAACUCUUAAAUGACAUCUAUAUGACAUUGCGACAAAAAAAUAUGUUUUGGUAAGUAAAAUAAAAUAUAUUAUUUCCUCCGUUUCAAAAAGAAUAAUCUGGUUUGAUUUGACAUGAAGUUCAAGAAAAUAAAGAAGAUUUUUGAAUCUUGUGGUUCUAAAUUAAAUUUAUGUGAAAUUUACAAAAAUUUCCUUUAAUCUUGUGAUAUUAAACAUGCCACGUGAAAAGUUAAAAUUAAAAUCUUGUGAUUCUAAAUUAAAGUUAUGUGAAAUUUACAAAAAAAAAUGUCAUUCUUUUUUAAACAGAUAAAAGAAAAAAGCUAAUUUAUUUUUAAACGAAAAAAAUUGAUAAUUAUUUUUCAUUUGUAUAACUCUUAGUUGCAAAAGAAAGUGAUAGUUCUUACCGAUAAGAUCACAAACACUGAUUUUUUUCUUGCUCUUAUUAUGAGUACCAUUUUCUUCUUGUUCAACUUGUAAUCAUUGAGGAAAACACUCACUUUUCUACACAUAAAACAAAAUAAGUGGUCACGUUAAAAUAGUAGAUACUCACACCAAAAUCACUUAUGCAUAUCAAAAAAUAUUUAAAACUUAAAUAAUAUAAAAUAUAUCAAGUUAAGAGUGAAACUUACUUGAGACAGAAUGAUAGUAUAAAAAAUAUGUUAU
This 1201-nucleotide long non-coding RNA is filed under the name Solanum lycopersicum (tomato). RNAcentral describes it as "long non-coding RNA (SLYC_LNC001232)". Lineage: Eukaryota; Viridiplantae; Streptophyta; Magnoliopsida; Solanales; Solanaceae. The record is from RNAcentral.